GGGGGUGACUUUGGAUUUGAUAGAAGGAAUCCGUAAUCCUCGAUAGCCAUUGCUCGAUGAUCGCAGAGCAUAAACUCGAUCAAACAAAAAAUGCUAACUCAGCAAAAUCUCUCCUUGCGAGAGCUGAACUUGUUAAAGCUUACGCUUAAGCUUUCAAGCCAGUAACUAACCUUGCUACUGACUCCUGCUAGGAGCAAGGCCGAUUUGAGCAGGAAACCCAAACCUUGCAUUGAUCAAAUUGAAGAAUAGCGUUUGUUGCUUUUCGUCUUCUCCCUCUCUCUGCAAGGCUAAAAAAUCAGGUUAAAAAGCUGACUAUAAUGGUAGAGUUCGAGCAUUAUGCCUUUUAGACCGGAGUUCAAUUCUCCGCACCUCCAA
Molecule: transfer-messenger RNA, 375 nt
Filed under: candidate division SR1 bacterium
Lineage: Bacteria; Candidatus Absconditibacteriota
Rfam family: transfer-messenger RNA
About the family: Bacterial tmRNA, also known as 10Sa RNA or SsrA, is named for its dual tRNA and mRNA-like properties. Its role is to liberate the mRNA from a stalled ribosome.
Source: RNAcentral